AUGUCUCUUUGUAAACAAGAUAUAAGGAGUCUGGCCUGCCCGGUGACAUAGUUUAACGGCUGCAGUAUCCUGACUGUGCAAAGGUAGCAUAAUAACUUGCCUUUUAAUUAGAGGAUAGAAUCAACGGCUUGACGAGAGCAAAGCUGUCUUUUUUGUUUUUACUAGAAUUUAUCUUUUAAGUUAAAAGGCUUAAAUAUAAUUAAAAGACGAUAAGACCCUAUUGAGCUUUAAAGAAAUAAAAUAAUUGUUUGUUAUUGACAAGAUCAAUAGUAGUUUUAAAAAAUUUUGGUUGGGGCGACUGCGGAGUAUAAGAAACCUCCGUGAUUAGAAAUUAACUUCUAUUUUUGAUCCAUACUUUAUGAUAAGGGGAAUUAGUUACCAUAGGGAUAACAGCGCACUGCUCUUAGGAAGACCUGAUUUUUAAGAGAGAUCGCGACCUCGAUGUUGGAUUAAGGUAUACUGAAAGGCGCAGAAGCUUUUUAAGUUAGUCUGUUCGACUAUUAAACCCUU
RNAcentral lists this ribosomal RNA (510 nucleotides) under Cyclophorus malayanus. RNAcentral describes it as "partial 16S ribosomal RNA". It matches the Rfam family "Bacterial large subunit ribosomal RNA", at positions 1815 to 2597 of the family's 2925-position model. Lineage: Eukaryota; Metazoa; Mollusca; Gastropoda; Architaenioglossa; Cyclophoridae. The record is from RNAcentral.